Non-coding RNA from Oenanthe melanoleuca, 573 nucleotides. NCBI's taxonomy places the organism in Eukaryota, Metazoa, Chordata, Aves, Passeriformes, Muscicapidae. The record is from the annotation of a RefSeq genome assembly.
CAUGGCCUCGAGCUCCCUCCCGCUCCUCGCCCUCCUGGCCCUGCUGGCCCUGCCAGGGCUCCGGGCGGCCGUGACCCUGCUGGAGUCGGGGGGGACCUCCAGCCCCCCGGGGGGUCCCUGACUCUGUUCUGCCGCGGGUCUGGAUUCAAUUUUGGAAACCACGACAUGUACUGGGUGCGCCAGAGCCCCGGGAAGGCGCUGGAAAACUUUGCGGGGAUCAACUACAAUGGUGGCAGCACCUGGUACGCGCCGUCGGUCAAGGGCCGGUUCAGGAUCUCCAGGGACAAUGGGCAGAGCUCGGUGACGCUGACCAUGAACAACCUCAAGGACGAGGAUUCCGGCGCCUAUUUCUGUGCCAGAUGUUAUACCGCUUAUUUUGGUGGUGCUGCUGGUGCUGUUGCUUCCGCAAGCCCCGAAGUGUUGUGUCCUCACAUGACCCAAAAUCUGGGAGUUUUGGCAAAGCUGCACCACGCAGGGCUCAGAGAGAGCAAUCAGCAAUUAGAGAGAAGAGGAAAGCACAAGGUUUGUCAGCAGAAAUGUUCUGUGAGAUGUAAACAGCAAGGACAGAUAUGA